Molecule: ribosomal RNA, 486 nt
Filed under: uncultured bacterium
Lineage: Bacteria
Description: bacterial SSU rRNA
Rfam family: Bacterial small subunit ribosomal RNA
Source: RNAcentral
CAGGCCUAAUACAUGCAAGUCGAGGGGUAACAUGAGAGCUUGCUCUUGAUGACGACCGGCGCACGGGUGCGUAACGCGUAUGCAACCUACCCACAACUGGAGGAUAGCCCGGAGAAAUCCGGAUUAAUACUCCAUAAUGCAGGGGUACCUCCUGGUACUAUUUGCUAAAGAUUUAUCGGUUGUGGAUGGGCAUGCGUCUGAUUAGUUAGUUGGUGAGGUAACGGCUCACCAAGACCACGAUCAGUAGGGGGUCUGAGAGGAUGAUCCCCCACACUGGCACUGAGAUACGGGCCAGACUCCUACGGGAGGCAGCAGUAGGGAAUAUUGGGCAAUGGGCGAAAGCCUGACCCAGCCAUGCCGCGUGAAGGAUGAAGGCCUUCUGGGUUGUAAACUUCUUUUAUAUAGGAAGAAAAAGGUCAUGCGUGACCAAUUGACGGUACUACAUGAAUAAGCACCGGCUAACUCCGUGCCAGCAGCCGCGGUAAU